RNAcentral lists this ribosomal RNA (568 nucleotides) under uncultured Actinomycetes bacterium. RNAcentral's name for it is "bacterial SSU rRNA". It matches the Rfam family "Bacterial small subunit ribosomal RNA", at positions 338 to 916 of the family's 1533-position model. Lineage: Bacteria; Bacillati; Actinomycetota; Actinomycetes. The record is from RNAcentral.
CCUACGGGAGGCAGCAGGGGGGAAUAUUGCCACAAUGGGCGCAAGCCUGAUGCAGCAACGCCGCGUGAGGGACGAAGGCCUUCGGGUUGUAAACCUCUUUUAGCAGGGAAGAAGCGAAAGUGACGGUACCUGCAGAAAAAGCACCGGCUAACUACGUGCCAGCAGCCGCGGUAAUACGUAGGGUGCAAGCGUUGUCCGGAAUUAUUGGGCGUAAAGAGCUCGUAGGCGGUUUGUCACGUCUGCUGUGAAAAUCCAAGGCCCAACCUUGGACUUGCAGUGGGUACGGGCAGGCUAGAGUGCGGUAGGGGAGAUGGGAAUUCCUGGUGUAGCGGUGGAAUGCGCAGAUAUCAGGAGGAACACCGAUGGCGAAGGCACAUCUCUGGGCCGUAACCGACGCUGAGGAGCGAAAGCGUGGGGAGCGAACAGGAUUAGAUACCCUGGUAGUCCACGCCGUAAACGGUGGGUGCUAGCUGUGGGUCACAUUCCACGUGAUCCGUGACGAAGUUAACACAUUAAGCACCCGCCUGGGGAGUACGGCCGCAAGGCUAAAACUCAAAUGAAUUGACGG